AUACACGCUGGCGGCGCACAUAAGACAUGCAAGUUGAACGGACUUAAUCGAAAUAUUUAUAUUUUGAAGCGGUUAGUGGCGGACUGGUGAGUAACGCGUAAGGAACCUGCCUAUUAGAGGGGAAUAACAGUGAGAAAUCAUUGCUAAUACCGCAUAUGCCAUAGAUAUCACAUGAUAACAGUGGGAAAGGAGCAAUCCGCUAAUAGAUGGCCUUGCGUCUGAUUAGAUAGUUGGUGGGGUAACGGCCUACCAAGUCGACGAUCAGUAGCCGGACUGAGAGGUUGAACGGCCACAUUGGGACUGAGAUACGGCCCAGACUCCUACGGGAGGCAGCAGUCGGGAAUAUUGCGCAAUGGAGGAAACUCUGACGCAGUGACGCCGCGUAUAGGAAGAAGGUUUUCGGAUUGUAAACUAUUGUCGUUAGGGAAGAGAAAGGACAGUACCUAAGGAGGAAGCUCCGGCUAACUACGUG
RNAcentral lists this ribosomal RNA (472 nucleotides) under uncultured bacterium. RNAcentral's name for it is "partial 16S ribosomal RNA". It matches the Rfam family "Bacterial small subunit ribosomal RNA", at positions 33 to 507 of the family's 1533-position model. The record is from RNAcentral.